RNAcentral lists this long non-coding RNA (296 nucleotides) under Homo sapiens (human). Its description in RNAcentral is "HSALNT0155475". Lineage: Eukaryota; Metazoa; Chordata; Mammalia; Primates; Hominidae. The record is from RNAcentral.
ACAAGUUCAACAGCCAAGGAACAAGUGCUGAAUCCGAGUGCCACAAAGCCAUGGGGGCAGGGAAGUCAGGGAACACCCUCUGGAGGAAGUAUAUCUGCAGCAGGGGCUUGAAGGAAGUGAAAUGGAGAAUUUGCACAGAAAAGAAAAAGGAGGCCAGUGCUUCAGAAGGGGGAACAACAGAAGCAAAACCCAAGAAGCCGUAACUAACUCAGUUCUGCAGGGGACAGACUUGGAGAAGCAGAGAAUAAGGUUCAGCACACAGCCUUGUCUCAUCAAAAUUACCUUUUCAUAAGUAA